RNAcentral lists this small RNA (37 nucleotides) under Arabidopsis thaliana (thale cress). Its description in RNAcentral is "ATSL176590". The record is from RNAcentral. Lineage: Eukaryota; Viridiplantae; Streptophyta; Magnoliopsida; Brassicales; Brassicaceae.
UGGAAGAACAGUGAUGAGUCAGUUUACAGACCUGUAA